CUUGACUGUUGAGUUAUUGUUCCCCUUUUUCUUUUGUUGUGUAUUUGCCUCAGAUUCUACAGAAUCAGUAGUUCUGAAGUUAAAAAUGCCGACUGAUUAUUUCCUACUUUAGUAGAUAAAAAUAAAAAUAAUUAUCACAAUACAGUAGUAUUCCGAAAUAACGAAUAUUCGUUUUAACGAAAACCGAAAGUUGAAAAAAAUAAAAUAGUAGUGAAAACAGAAUACAAAACAGGCCUUGAAAAAAAUGCAAAAGAAGAAAUUAUUAUAUCAAUAUUUCUUUAUGUUUUUUAUGUUUUUCCUUUUCACCUAAGUGUAAAAGCAGGGUAAUUUUGAUCAAGAGUAUGAUCUUGAUUAUUCGUCAUUCCUAAGGCAAAAUGAGAAUACUUUGGUAAUGAGGGAUAUAGUGAAAUUGUUGAGUUCGGCUUUUCCAACUUCAGUGAUUUGGUUGGUUCAUACAGAAAAUUUUCGAACAAUUUAUCUAGUGGGCAUCUGAAAGAAGCCAUCAAAUAUAAUCUUCGUAUUCCAACAAAGCAAACGACGAUUAAUAAAUUUUUUAAAUAUAAAAUAAGCGCUUUAAAUUGUAACAAAUAAUUAAUAAACAAUAUAUUAAUCUGCAAUUUUCGGUUACUCGAAUUAACGAAAAUUUCGAUAUUACGAACUGGCCUGACAAUUAAUGUGUUCAUUAUUUCGGAAAACUGCUGUAUAUAUAACCAACACAUCCUUUAUUUGAUAACUGUUUUAAGUGAUGAGAAAUCAGAUUAAUGAGAACAAAUUGAUUUCUAUGCAAAAUUGUUUAAAUAAAAAAUGAUGAAUAUUCUCUAGUCUA
This is a long non-coding RNA of Bactrocera oleae (olive fruit fly), 826 nucleotides long. RefSeq lists it as uncharacterized. The record is from RefSeq and is a predicted model, not a curated record. Lineage: Eukaryota; Metazoa; Arthropoda; Insecta; Diptera; Tephritidae.